Molecule: transfer RNA, 71 nt
Filed under: Camelus bactrianus (Bactrian camel)
Lineage: Eukaryota; Metazoa; Chordata; Mammalia; Artiodactyla; Camelidae
Also listed under: 3 other names
Rfam family: tRNA
About the family: Transfer RNA (tRNA) molecules are approximately 80 nucleotides in length. Their secondary structure includes four short double-helical elements and three loops (D, anti-codon, and T loops).
Source: Rfam by way of RNAcentral
GAGGGUAUAGCUCAGUGGUAGAGUGCUUGCUAACAUACAUGAGGUCCUGGGUUCAAUUCCCAGUGCCUCCA